AUUUAUAUAGUUUAGGAAAACAUUACAUUUUCACUGUAAAGACAAAGAAGCACUUUUAUAAAUA
RNAcentral lists this transfer RNA (64 nucleotides) under Tetimatermes sp. A TB-2017. Its description in RNAcentral is "tRNA-Glu". It matches the Rfam family "tRNA". From Rfam's summary of the family: Transfer RNA (tRNA) molecules are approximately 80 nucleotides in length. Their secondary structure includes four short double-helical elements and three loops (D, anti-codon, and T loops). The record is from RNAcentral. Lineage: Eukaryota; Metazoa; Arthropoda; Insecta; Blattodea; Termitidae.